AUUGAACGCUGGCGGCAGGCCUAACACAUGCAAGUCGAACGGUAACAGGAAGCAGCUUGCUGCUUCGCUGACGAGUGGCGGACGGGUGAGAAAUGUCUGGGAAGCUGCCUGAUGGAGGGGGAUAACUACUGGAAACGGUAGCUAAUACCGCAUAAUGUCGCAAGACCAAAGAGGGGGACCUUCUGGCCGCUUGCCAUCGGAUGUGCCCAGAUGGGAUUAGCUUGUUGGUGGGGUAACGGCUCACCAAGGCGACGAUCCCUAGCUGGUCUGAGAGGAUGACCAGCCACACUAGAACUGAGACACGGUCCAGACUCCUACGAGAGGCAGCAGUGGGGAAUAGUGCACAGUGGGGGCAAGCCUGAUGCAGCCGUGCCGCGUGUAUGAAGAAGGCCUUCGGGUUGUAAAGUACUUUCAGCGGGGAGGAAGGGAGUAAAGUUAAUACCUUGGCUCAUUGACGUUACCCGCAGAAGAAGCACCGGCUAACUCCGUG
Molecule: ribosomal RNA, 490 nt
Filed under: uncultured bacterium
Lineage: Bacteria
Description: partial 16S ribosomal RNA
Rfam family: Bacterial small subunit ribosomal RNA
Source: RNAcentral